CCUAAUUCGAAUUCCAGGUCUGGUUUAAAACUGAAAGCACCGUCUGCUUCGAAAAGUGGACCUCGCAAAUCCAAUGGAAAUGCCAUUGGUUAUAACUACCCUUCUGUUGAGCUUCAGGAGGGUUUGCACAAAGAAUUAUCUGUCGAGGAUAAUGACAGAGAUAAUGAUUUAGAUGAAUCACAACCCAUUCUUUUGGUUGGUUCCAAGGAGAACCAGAUAGUUGCUUACUUAGAUGAAACACCACCUUUGAAGGCCCAUAAUACUGAUAUCACUUACGGUUACAAUUCAAGUUUUGUGCUUGGUGAUAACUUGCAUAGAGGAUUGGGGUUCUAUGAUGAAUCUGAGACAAACCCGGAUGCUGUUGGUUCAUCAUCAAAGCAAAUGGAAGAACAGCCAGAAGGAUCAUAUUCUUCAUUCUCUGAUAAAGAAAUAGAAACUGAUGAGACUAUUAUUUGUGAGGUAGGUGAAGAAAUGGUUGAAGAAGUGUCAACUGAGGCAUUCUUUCCAAAGAAAAAUUCUGGAUUUUUGUCAAUUGGAGGCAUCAAAUUAUUCACCCAAGAUCUUUCUGGUGGGGAAAGUGAUGGAGAGUUAGAAGAUGAUGAAGUUUCUGAAUCUUCUGAACUAGGGGAGCCGACUGGACUGUCUGAUAAUGAUGUCUCUGAUAAUAUGUCUGAAAGUGAUUCAGAUAUUGAUGAAGAAGUUGCAGAAGACUACUUAGAUGGAAUUGGUGGGAGUGACAACAUGUUAGAUGCCAAAUGGUUGGUAGAAAAUCAUUUAGAUGGCUCAAAUGAGGAUAGUUCUUC
RNAcentral lists this unclassified non-coding RNA (803 nucleotides) under Hevea brasiliensis (rubber tree). Lineage: Eukaryota; Viridiplantae; Streptophyta; Magnoliopsida; Malpighiales; Euphorbiaceae. The record is from RNAcentral.